GCUUGUCUCAAAGAUUAAGCCAUGCAUGUCUCAGUAUAAGCUUGUGCAUAGUGAAACUGCGAACGGCUCAUUAUAACAGUUAUAAUUUGUUUGGUGUUCAAGUUUACAUGGGUAACUGUGGCAAUUCUAGAGCUAAUACAUGCGACAACCCCUGACUGCUUGCAGAAAGGGCGUAUUUAUUAGAUACAACCAACCCUUCGGGUCCCUGGUGAAUCAUAAUAACUUAGCGAACCGCAUGCUUCGGCGGCGGUGAUUCAUUCAAGUUUCUGCCCUAUCAGCUUUCGAUGGUAGGGUAUUGGCCUACCAUGGCGGUGACGGGUGACGGAGAAUUAGGGUUCGAUUCCGGAGAGGGAGCCUGAGAGAUGGCUACCACAUCCAAGGAAGGCAGCAGG
Molecule: ribosomal RNA, 392 nt
Filed under: uncultured Bicosoeca
Lineage: Eukaryota; Bigyra; Bicosoecida
Description: partial small subunit ribosomal RNA
Rfam family: Eukaryotic small subunit ribosomal RNA
Source: RNAcentral